This 2923-nucleotide ribosomal RNA is filed under the name Klebsiella pneumoniae. RNAcentral's name for it is "23S ribosomal RNA". It matches the Rfam family "Bacterial large subunit ribosomal RNA". Lineage: Bacteria; Pseudomonadati; Pseudomonadota; Gammaproteobacteria; Enterobacterales; Enterobacteriaceae. The record is from RNAcentral.
GGGUUGUGAGGUUAAGCGACUAAGCGUACACGGUGGAUGCCCUGGCAGUCAGAGGCGAUGAAGGACGUGCUAAUCUGCGAAAAGCGUCGGUAAGGUGAUAUGAACCGUUAUAACCGGCGAUGUCCGAAUGGGGAAACCCAGUGCAAUUCGUUGCACUAUCGUUAACUGAAUACAUAGGUUAACGAGGCGAACCGGGGGAACUGAAACAUCUAAGUACCCCGAGGAAAAGAAAUCAACCGAGAUUCCCCCAGUAGCGGCGAGCGAACGGGGAGCAGCCCAGAGUCUGAAUCAGCUUGUGUGUUAGUGGAACGGUCUGGAAAGUCCGACGGUACAGGGUGAUAGUCCCGUACACCAAAAUGCACAGGUUGUGAACUCGAAGAGUAGGGCGGGACACGUGGUAUCCUGUCUGAAUAUGGGGGGACCAUCCUCCAAGGCUAAAUACUCCUGACUGACCGAUAGUGAACCAGUACCGUGAGGGAAAGGCGAAAAGAACCCCGGCGAGGGGAGUGAAAAAGAACCUGAAACCGUGUACGUACAAGCAGUGGGAGCACCUUCGGGUGUGACUGCGUACCUUUUGUAUAAUGGGUCAGCGACUUAUAUUCUGUAGCAAGGUUAACCGUAUAGGGGAGCCGCAGGGAAACCGAGUCUUAACUGGGCGUUAAGUUGCAGGGUAUAGACCCGAAACCCGGUGAUCUAGCCAUGGGCAGGUUGAAGGUUGGGUAACACUAACUGGAGGACCGAACCGACUAAUGUUGAAAAAUUAGCGGAUGACUUGUGGCUGGGGGUGAAAGGCCAAUCAAACCGGGAGAUAGCUGGUUCUCCCCGAAAGCUAUUUAGGUAGCGCCUCGUGAACUCAUCUUCGGGGGUAGAGCACUGUUUCGGCUAGGGGGUCAUCCCGACUUACCAACCCGAUGCAAACUACGAAUACCGAAGAAUGUUAUCACGGGAGACACACGGCGGGUGCUAACGUCCGUCGUGAAGAGGGAAACAACCCAGACCGCCAGCUAAGGUCCCAAAGUCAUGGUUAAGUGGGAAACGAUGUGGGAAGGCACAGACAGCCAGGAUGUUGGCUUAGAAGCAGCCAUCAUUUAAAGAAAGCGUAAUAGCUCACUGGUCGAGUCGGCCUGCGCGGAAGAUGUAACGGGGCUAAACCAUGCACCGAAGCUGCGGCAGCGACACUAUGUGUUGUUGGGUAGGGGAGCGUUCUGUAAGCCUGCGAAGGUGACCUGUGAGGGUUGCUGGAGGUAUCAGAAGUGCGAAUGCUGACAUAAGUAACGAUAAAGCGGGUGAAAAGCCCGCUCGCCGGAAGACCAAGGGUUCCUGUCCAACGUUAAUCGGGGCAGGGUGAGUCGACCCCUAAGGCGAGGCCGAAAGGCGUAGUCGAUGGGAAACAGGUUAAUAUUCCUGUACUUGGUGUUACUGCGAAGGGGGGACGGAGAAGGCUAUGUUAGCCGGGCGACGGUUGUCCCGGUUUAAGCAUGUAGGCUGAUUGUCCAGGCAAAUCCGGAUAAUCAAGGCUGAGGUGUGAUGACGAGGCACUACGGUGCUGAAGUAACAAAUGCCCUGCUUCCAGGAAAAGCCUCUAAGCAUCAGGUAACAUCAAAUCGUACCCCAAACCGACACAGGUGGUCAGGUAGAGAAUACCAAGGCGCUUGAGAGAACUCGGGUGAAGGAACUAGGCAAAAUGGUGCCGUAACUUCGGGAGAAGGCACGCUGGUGUGUAGGUGAAGCCCCUGCGGGUGGAGCUGAGACCAGUCGAAGAUACCAGCUGGCUGCAACUGUUUAUUAAAAACACAGCACUGUGCAAACACGAAAGUGGACGUAUACGGUGUGACGCCUGCCCGGUGCCGGAAGGUUAAUUGAUGGGGUUAUCCGUAAGGAGAAGCUCUUGAUCGAAGCCCCGGUAAACGGCGGCCGUAACUAUAACGGUCCUAAGGUAGCGAAAUUCCUUGUCGGGUAAGUUCCGACCUGCACGAAUGGCGUAAUGAUGGCCAGGCUGUCUCCACCCGAGACUCAGUGAAAUUGAACUCGCUGUGAAGAUGCAGUGUACCCGCGGCAAGACGGAAAGACCCCGUGAACCUUUACUAUAGCUUGACACUGAACAUUGAGCCUUGAUGUGUAGGAUAGGUGGGAGGCUUUGAAGCGUGGACGCCAGUCUGCGUGGAGCCAACCUUGAAAUACCACCCUUUAAUGUUUGAUGUUCUAACGUUGGCCCCUUAUCGGGGUUGCGGACAGUGUCUGGUGGGUAGUUUGACUGGGGCGGUCUCCUCCCAAAGCGUAACGGAGGAGCACGAAGGUUAGCUAAUCCUGGUCGGACAUCAGGAGGUUAGUGCAAUGGCAUAAGCUAGCUUGACUGCGAGCGUGACGGCGCGAGCAGGUGCGAAAGCAGGUCAUAGUGAUCCGGUGGUUCUGAAUGGAAGGGCCAUCGCUCAACGGAUAAAAGGUACUCCGGGGAUAACAGGCUGAUACCGCCCAAGAGUUCAUAUCGACGGCGGUGUUUGGCACCUCGAUGUCGGCUCAUCACAUCCUGGGGCUGAAGUAGGUCCCAAGGGUAUGGCUGUUCGCCAUUUAAAGUGGUACGCGAGCUGGGUUUAGAACGUCGUGAGACAGUUCGGUCCCUAUCUGCCGUGGGCGCUGGAGAAUUGAGGGGGGCUGCUCCUAGUACGAGAGGACCGGAGUGGACGCAUCACUGGUGUUCGGGUUGUCAUGCCAAUGGCACUGCCCGGUAGCUAAAUGCGGAAGAGAUAAGUGCUGAAAGCAUCUAAGCACGAAACUUGCCCCGAGAUGAGUUCUCCCUGAGACUUUAAGUCUCCUGAAGGAACGUUAAAGACGAUGACGUUGAUAGGCCGGGUGUGUAAGCGCAGCGAUGCGUUGAGCUAACCGGUACUAAUGAACCGUGAGGCUUAACCUUACAACGCCGAAG